ACUCGCUCCCAGCGGGUUAUUAAUGGCGCCUCUUUGUUUUUUUGAGACGUGAAUCUCUUACCGCGCGUUGACGUGUUUCUGUUUUCGCACGUCUCCGAAAACUCGACGAUUAUUUAACACAGACGCGGAUCGUGGAGGAUGUAAUAAUGAACGAAACGGGAAUCACGACCGGUCGAACUUUCUCGGACGAUUAUUACGACAGGUUGGAGGUGACACCGAUUUAACGUGGUAUUAUUAUUUGCGCGGGAGUGUUCAAAACGACGGCCUGUCGUUUGUCACAGAGGCAACUCCACGUGUUUCCCGGGUUUAUUUAUCGUGAACGUCACGCGCGCAGGACAGGUUUCGUUAAAACCAAGACACGAGCGGUAACGCGGAUGGUACGCUUAACGUUUAUUAGCGUGUAAAA
Neodiprion fabricii is the source of this 406-nucleotide long non-coding RNA. RefSeq lists it as uncharacterized. Lineage: Eukaryota; Metazoa; Arthropoda; Insecta; Hymenoptera; Diprionidae. The record is from RefSeq and is a predicted model, not a curated record. The transcript is spliced from 2 exons.